CCUACUAUUAAUUUGGAUGAAGUGUGUCUGGUGAAUUUCUGUUGGGAGCAGCAGUACCAACAAAAGCGAUGAUCUGUUACAAAUUAUUAUACGUUUUCCUAAGCAGAUGUGUUUGCUAUGCGGGCUAUGGUUGAAUAUUUUUCUUCAUGGUGAUUGGGAAGAUGGCUACCAACACCGACGGUAGCAUCAUCCAUCUUGCUAGCACACCGCCAAUCUGCACAGGUAUGGGAAUACCAUCUUGUGUUUUUUGUGAAUAACACCUUUAUCUGCAUGUUGUGUUUUUUUUGCUCAGUUGUUCAGUAGGACACUUAUGUACGAGUCACUCAGAUACAAUUAGUUUUUAUGUGACAGUGCAUAUGGUUUUCAGCAUAGUGUUGUUGCUACGAGUCUGCUGGUCAGCUACUUCCAGUUAUCCUCAUCGAGAGUUGAUAGUCGGAUUUCACCAAGAAAUAAAAACGGAGGAAAACCCUCAAGUCUUACUACCGAUAGCCUCAAACAAGAAUAUGGGUACUUUCUGUUGUAAUGAUUAUUAGAAUUGUUGUUUCUAAAAUUCAGUCUUCAGAAUUACUAUGGCUAAGUGAAGGUGAUAAAUAAUUCCAGUUUAACGAGUACUUGUGGAUUGUUUAGACGGAGGAGCACUCUUAGUUUUGUUCUUGGAUUCAAUUCUGAAUCAUUUAGUGUGCAAUUCAGAUUCACGCAGCAUUUUUCUUAAAUUUUGCCUGCCUGGAAAUUAUUACUGUCAACUUAAUACAUAGCAUGUCCUGAUGUUAAACAUGAUGCAUUUCUACACUACAGUCUACAUACUUGGUACAUAUAGCAUGUCUCUGCCGUCAGCAACCCCGUCUAGCUCACUUUUUCAGCGGCAUAGCCUUCUUCCAAUCUUAUGUCAAUUGGUCUUUGCUUUGUAGGCACUAGAAAGGAGACAAUCCUAUCCACUCUCACAAUGAAACAAGAGAAACAAUUUCCUUGCAGUCAUCUAUAAGGUCAGCAUGCUGGGGCUUGGUUUAUUUAUUUAUAUUUCUAUUUCUAUGCACACGUAAAAGGAUCUACGUAUCCACAAUUAAUUUGCUUACCCAUGUGAGUUUGGGGAUAUUAUUUUUUAUCUUGUUAGGAUGCAUGUCAGAUUUAAAUUCUCUUUUAUCUGUGUAUGUAGUGCAAUUUUUAUUUUGUAAAAACCUACUACCAAUCCACGCAUGAAGGUGCACUUAAUUUCUUAGUAUUUCUACGUGCAUUACUUCUCUUGAAUUUACUUAGUAAUAGUAUUUUGUUAUUUGGGUCUAAAGAUACCAAUAUUGCGACAAGUAAAUAAAUUGGGAGGAAAGUGAUUUGAACGUUAUACUGUUAAGGAUAAUAGACCAAAUUGAUUUGUAUAGAGGCGUGAAUAAUCAAAGCAAAAAGGGGAGUUGAUUAGUAAGGAGACAUCUAGGAUGUUUCGAAUUCUGUCAAAAAGCUCAAUAUAAAUAUGUGUAGAUGUGUUAACCUUUUUGUUCACUGAAUUUCUGGUAAUAUAAUUAGUACUACUCCCUCCGUUUCUAAAUAUAAGUCUUUUUUUAGAUAUUCCACUGCGGACUACAUACAAAGCAAAAUGAGUGAAUCUACACUCUAAAAUAUGUCUAUAUACAUUCGUAUGUAGUUUGUAUUGAAAUCCAUAGAAAGACUUAUAUUUAGAAACGGAGGGAGUAUAUGUUAUGGUGGAAAUUUUUUUCUUUUAAAUACACUAUAUAUCAUAGUUUCAAAUAGCCGGCUAUAGCGGAAGCUCCGCUAUAGCCUUUUCAGCAGGGUGCCGCUAAAUGGUCGCCAUCACAAAUAGCCCACUAAAGCUGAUUUGGAGGCCCGCCGCUAUUUUUCAUAGCCCGCUAUUUAAAACAUUGCUAUAUACACUGUGUACUAAAUGGUGGAGUCGUUGGCCGCCUGCCGGCCUCGACUGACAUAGAGAGGGAGAACACCCUAGAUGGGAUGCUCACGCAUUUGCGCCUCACCAAGGUUGACCGCCUCACAUGCUCCCUAGGCCAAAUUGAGAUGCCGUCUCGCGCCGCUGCGUGUUCUCAAAAAAAAAAAAAUCUCAGAUGCCAUUGUUCCAUUGACCUGAUUCUGAUUGUUUGCAGACUAAAUCGUGUUUUGAAAUUAUAUUCAUCAAGUGAGAGACACUUUCCAAUGUGCUAAGAUGCGCAUCUCAACAUCAUAGGAUUAUCACAUCUUGAAUUCUGGUUCUUAGAGCUUUGGUUUCUAACCCUUAUUUGCUUGUCUUGUCUUUUGUUCUUACGGGUUUCAAGCUUCAGCACAAAUCUUCUGUAGGAAAUCUUGUACUCAAAGUGCAGAAAAAUGCUGUUCUUGUGAAAUGUCACAGGAGCUACAUUACUAACAUUGUUGUAAUGUUUGUAUGGCAACCUAUUCUUUAAUCCGUUCAAUUACAGAGUUUAUGAUUAUGUAAAUGGAGUAUGGGAUCUGAGAAAAAAAAAGGUAAUAGUACUUUACUUCCCAGGCAGAUUUG
This 2491-nucleotide long non-coding RNA is filed under the name Triticum aestivum (bread wheat). RNAcentral's name for it is "long non-coding RNA (TAES_LNC009493)". The record is from RNAcentral. Lineage: Eukaryota; Viridiplantae; Streptophyta; Magnoliopsida; Poales; Poaceae.